GACUCGUCACACUAUCAUUAACUGAAUCCAUAGGUUAAUGAGGCGAACCGGGGGAACUGAAACAUCUAAGUACCCCGAGGAAAAGAAAUCAACCGAGAUUCCCCCAGUAGCGGCGAGCGAACGGGGAGGAGCCCAGAGCCUGAAUCAGCAUGUGUGUUAGUGGAAGCGUCUGGAAAGGCGCGCGAUACAGGGUGACAGCCCCGUACACAAAAGCGCAUGUGCUGUGAGCUCGAUGAGUAGGGCGGGACACGUGGUAUCCUGUCUGAAUAUGGGGGGACCAUCCUCCAAGGCUAAAUACUCCUGACUGACCGAUAGUGAACCAGUACCGUGAGGGAAAGGCGAAAAGAACCCCGGCGAGGGGAGUGAAAAAGAACCUGAAACCGUGUACGUACAAGCAGUGGGAGCACCCUUUUGGGUGUGACUGCGUACCUUUUGUAUAAUGGGUCAGCGACUUAUAUUCUGUAGCAAGGUUAACCGAAUAGGGGAGCCGGAGGGAAACCGAGUCUUAAUUGGGCGUUAAGUUGCAGGGUAUAGACCCGAAACCCGGUGAUCUAGCCAUGGGCAGGUUGAAGGUUGGGUAACACUAACUGGAGGACCGAACCGACUAAUGUUGAAAAAUUAGCGGAUGACCUGUGGCUGGGGGUGAAAGGCCAAUCAAACCGGGAGAUAGCUGGUUCUCCCCGAAAGCUAUUUAGGUAGCGCCUCGUGAAUUCAUCUCCGGGGGUAGAGCACUGUUUCGGCUAGGGGGCCAUCCCGGCUUACCAACCCGAUGCAAACUGCGAAUACCGGAGAAUGUUAUCACGGGAGACACACGGCGGGUGCUAACGUCCGUCGUGAAGAGGGAAACAACCCAGACCGCCAGCUAAGGUCCCAAAGUCAUGGUUAAGUGGGAAACGAUGUGGGAAGGCCCAGACAGCCAGGAUGUUGGCUUAGAAGCAGCCAUCAUUUAAAGAAAGCGUAAUAGCUCACUGGUCGAGUCGGCCUGCGCGGAAGAUGUAACGGGGCUAAACCAUGCACCGAAGCUGCGGCAGCGACGCUGAUGCGUUGUUGGGUAGGGGAGCGUUCUGUAAGCCUGCGAAGGUGGCCUGUGAGGGUUGCUGGAGGUAUCAGAAGUGCGAAUGCUGACAUAAGUAACGAUAAAGCGGGUGAAAAGCCCGCUCGCCGGAAGACCAAGGGUUCCUGUCCAACGUUAAUCGGGGCAGGGUGAGUCGACCCCUAAGGCGAGGCCGAAAGGCGUAGUCGAUGGGAAACGGGUUAAUAUUCCCGUACUUGGUGUUACUGCGAAGGGGGGACGGAGAAGGCUAUGUUGGCCGGGCGACGGUUGUCCCGGUUUAAGCGUGUAGGUGUGUGUUCCAGGUAAAUCCGGUUCACUUUAACACUGAGGCGUGAUGACGAGGCACUACGGUGCUGAAGCAACAAAUGCCCUGCUUCCAGGAAAAGCCUCUAAGCAUCAGGUAACAUCAAAUCGUACCCCAAACCGACACAGGUGGUCAGGUAGAGAAUACCAAGGCGCUUGAGAGAACUCGGGUGAAGGAACUAGGCAAAAUGGUGCCGUAACUUCGGGAGAAGGCACGCUGACACGUAGGUGAAGUGAUUUACUCACGGAGCUGAAGUCAGUCGAAGAUACCAGCUGGCUGCAACUGUUUAUUAAAAACACAGCACUGUGCAAACACGAAAGUGGACGUAUACGGUGUGACGCCUGCCCGGUGCCGGAAGGUUAAUUGAUGGGGUCAGCGCAAGCGAAGCUCCUGAUCGAAGCCCCGGUAAACGGCGGCCGUAACUAUAACGGUCCUAAGGUAGCGAAAUUCCUUGUCGGGUAAGUUCCGACCUGCACGAAUGGCGUAAUGAUGGCCAGGCUGUCUCCACCCGAGACUCAGUGAAAUUGAACUCGCUGUGAAGAUGCAGUGUACCCGCGGCAAGACGGAAAGACCCCGUGAACCUUUACUAUAGCUUGACACUGAACAUUGAGCCUUGAUGUGUAG
This 1982-nucleotide ribosomal RNA is filed under the name Salmonella enterica subsp. enterica serovar Brunei. RNAcentral describes it as "partial 23S ribosomal RNA". It matches the Rfam family "Bacterial large subunit ribosomal RNA", at positions 137 to 2141 of the family's 2925-position model. The record is from RNAcentral. Lineage: Bacteria; Pseudomonadati; Pseudomonadota; Gammaproteobacteria; Enterobacterales; Enterobacteriaceae.